CCAGAGUAGGUGACAGCAGAGUUAGGGGUGGCCUUCACAAGAGAAGAACCUAAGAGAAUUAGAACAGCUGGGGGAAAGGCUAUAGAGAAGGACGGGAUGUUGAAGGAAUUUUGCCCCACACUGAAUAAUAACCAUCUACUACUGAAAACAGAGACAGUGAACCACAAUACUGAGAUGCGGGUCUCUGAAGACUGCAGGGCAGUCCUUCUUAAUGUUCCUUGACUAUAAGACCUCCAAAGCAAAACACCAGAGAAGCCUACAGCUGCCUCAUCCCUAAUCCACGCCCUUGGGCUUACUCUUUCCAUAGAUUCCAAGGACCGCAGAACCCUCUGGUGCACUCUGAUCCUCCGCAGUGAUCACUUUUAGUUGGCCAUCACCUGUAGCUACAAGUAUCAUCAACGGAUAUACACCCUUCCUCAGAAAUUUAAUGGAGGAGGCCUCCUUGGAGCCAAGAAAUGGAAGAGGUGAAGGAACUGCCAAGGAUGACUAUAAAAGGACAAGCAAGGGACAUGGCUGGGCAAAGGCCUGCAGAAUGGAACUCGGGUACAUGGCUCCAAGAAGGCCUCCAGGAAGAAGCAACACCAGCUUUGCGAUGACAUGAAAAAUCACAUUAAGAAGCAUUCUGUAAUCUAGUCCUGGAACUGA
This is a long non-coding RNA of Hyaena hyaena (striped hyena), 645 nucleotides long. RefSeq lists it as uncharacterized. NCBI's taxonomy places the organism in Eukaryota, Metazoa, Chordata, Mammalia, Carnivora, Hyaenidae. The transcript has 3 exons. The record is from RefSeq and is a predicted model, not a curated record.